UACGGGGGGGGCAAGCGUUGUUCGGAAUUACUGGGCGUAAAGGGCGCGUAGGCGGCCUGCUAAGUCGAACGUGAAAUCCCUGGGCUCAACCCAGGAACUGCGUCCGAUACUGGUUGGCUUGAAUCCGGGAGAGGGACGUGGAAUUCCAGGUGUAGCGGUGAAAUGCGUAGAUAUCUGGAGGAACACCGGUGGCGAAGGCGACGUCCUGGACCGGCAUUGACGCUGAGGCGCGAAAGUGUGGGGAUCAAACAGG
Molecule: ribosomal RNA, 253 nt
Filed under: uncultured bacterium
Lineage: Bacteria
Description: partial 16S ribosomal RNA
Rfam family: Bacterial small subunit ribosomal RNA
Source: RNAcentral